Molecule: long non-coding RNA, 804 nt
Filed under: Manacus vitellinus (golden-collared manakin)
Lineage: Eukaryota; Metazoa; Chordata; Aves; Passeriformes; Pipridae
Description: lncRNA (ENSMVIG00005012416.1)
Source: RNAcentral
GCAUCAGCAUCUUGCUCCCAUUGCUUCUUCUCUCCUCUGAUGGUGUUUAAGCCCUUUUGAACAGCAGCCCAUGGAAGAGGAUGGGUGGACAGAUUGUCUAUUAAAACAGGUAAGUUAUUUAUUGUGCAAUAAACAAUUCAGUACAAAUCAUAAAAUCUAGCUAGUCUGUUACUUUGAAUCUCUUUAAAUCAAAUCAUCUUAUAUUUUGGGUUUUUUUUCAAUCAGCUGCAAAGAUGAUACAGAACACAGAACAAGAUCAAAGGCUAUGUAUUAUUUCACUAUGACCAAAGCCAUAAGAAUAACAGCAUGAGAACAAUGCGAGAACAACUGACAACAGAGGAAAACAGCUGUCCCAGAAGAGCUGGAAAACACUCUUAUGGCAGCUUAGGAGAAAAGAACAUUGUACCUUGACAAGCACUGUGGUUUCCCAUCUCUGUCAAUGGGUUCAGCAAGUGACUCAGAGUGACACAUAAAUGAACAGUCAGCGCCGCUCCCUGCAGUGUCUGGCCAUUCAGAGAACUCCCUCACCACCCAUACAUCUUUGUGGUUUGAGAAGUCUGACAAGAUUGCCAUCAAAAGUGGAAAAUUCGGGAAAGCCCAACUCUGUUUUGACAUCAGCCACUGGUUUAAAAUGCCAAAGCACAGAGAAAGCAAAACCACGAAGAUACAGGAACUGCAACGCAACUGUUGUCAAGUGUUAAUACAUGCAUAUUGAACCACCACAUCCUGAAUGUGAUAAGCACCUGCCAGGAUCUGCUCCAGGACUCACCAGAGCUGUCCCUAAUGAGACCUGAUUUGCUCUUG